RNAcentral lists this ribosomal RNA (408 nucleotides) under uncultured bacterium. Its description in RNAcentral is "bacterial SSU rRNA". It matches the Rfam family "Bacterial small subunit ribosomal RNA", at positions 29 to 424 of the family's 1533-position model. The record is from RNAcentral.
AGCGAACGUUAGCGGCGGGCUUAACACAUGCAAGUCGAACGCGAAAGGGAUUCGUCCCCAGUAGCGUGGCGUCCGGGUGAGUAACACGUAGGAAACCUUGCCUAGAGUGGGGGAUAACGUCCCGAAAGGGACGCUAAUACCGCAUAAGCCCACGUCGGCCUCGGCCGAUGCGGGAAAAGAUGGCCUCUGAAUUCAAGCUAUCGCUCAAGGAUGGUCCUGCGGCGCAUCAGCUAGUUGGUGGGUAACGGCCUACCAAGGCGAAGACGCGUAGCUGGUCUGAGAGGAUGAUCAGCCACACUGGCACUGAAACACGGGCCAGACUCCUACGGGAGGCAGCAGUGGGGAAUAUUGGACAAUGGGCGGCAAGCCUGAUCCAGCCACGCCGCGUGAGUGAUGAAGGCCUCGGUU